CACGGAAACUGUCCUUCCUCAACUCGUUUCCUGAUCUCAAAAAUUGCUUUCCAGCCUCUGGCUGGGGACAUCUCAUUCUCUCACUUCGGAAACCGGAGGAGCGGGAGACACUGAGGCCACCGGUCGUCUCACUGGGCACGUGUGAACAUCGACACCGGGCCAGACACCCGGGGAACUCGGAGAGCCCACUGCCCGACCCACCGCCCCUCCGCCUGCUCCUCGAAGCCUCAUCGCCGCCUGGCUCCAGAAGUGGCCCGCAGCCUCUCGGGCUGAAGUCAUCCACCUUCCCAUUCUUAACUCCGAUUUCCUCCGGGCGCUCCCAGGGAGUCCCCGCAAGACCAGGCGGACGCGCGUGAGCUGGACGCUACCCCCAAAGCCCCCAGCUCGCUGCAAGGGUAGACUCAACGGGGCCGGACGGGCGUGGCUCGCGAUGCACCGGGUGCCCCCGAGCGGGCCGGGCCCUGGUAGGCACUCCCUAAAUGGUUGGUGACGGAUCCAUUCCGCCGUGGGGGCCUAGGGGAGCCAAGAAUUGCAGUGUGGGCAUUUGAGUCCUACGAGGGUCUCGGUAGAGGGAAGACCGCAAAGGUUUCUCCGAAGCGGACGAGCUUUGGUUCCCAGAGCUGAUCGAGAAUGCGGCGAAAAUUCCGACUUUGGACUCGUGCGCCCUAGGGUGGACCUGAGUCCCCACCCUGAACCGCCACGCAGCAGCUUAGUAUGGCUUCGGCGGUCCGGGGCCGGGGUGUGGAGGGUUGAACCCAGGAAACUGGACAAAAGAAGCAGCGAGGAGGCGUGGGCAGCCUGGUGGGGGGUGGGGGAGAGGGCGCGAGCAUACAGCCUCUGAACAAAAGGCCGAUUUUCCUUAAUUUCGAUCAUCCGCCACUUGCCGUCUCUUGUGUGUUGGUGCUCUCAACUCUGAAAAACAGUUUUCCUCCUUUAAAUGCCUGGUUUACAGACGGCAGCGCCGUGAGAUGUCACCCUUUGGACCUGGCGACCUCCCAAACGCGGGCAUCGGAGCUGCUGGGGGGGCCACAGUCCCUGUUCAUGGCUGCAAACCGUACCCCUGGGGGGAAUUGGCCCGGCCCCAGCCCCUCGCCCCCCGCCCGAAACCGGCAGUGCGCUCCUCCGCGCCCCUGCGCCCUGCAGAGGAAUGUGGACAAUGGUUGAAGUCUGUACUUCCCGGAAGUGCACUCUCAAAGACAACCAGAGGAGAGGCUGGUGAAGAAUUCUAAAGAAAGGGGUGUCCGAGCGAACUUAUUAUUAUUACUGGAGUAAACCCCCCAAGAAGAGGCGGAGAACACGCGGGGCUUGGGUACAGAAAAAUGCACUUGGCGUCACGUCAACUUUCACCUGAGCCUAAAGAACUUGGAGAAAAGCGCCCCCUCGUGGACGGUUGGAAAAUUCCAGUAACAGGGCUAAGGAGGUGAGGAUCCGUGGUAAGCUUCGGUGGGACCCCUUGGGAUGGACUAAAAAUCCCUUUAUCCUGGAGGUCCUUUCCAUGGAAGUCUGGGGUUCAAUCUGGACGGAAACUAGCACCGAGAGAGGCCCUUCUAAAAGGCCCGGGGCGGGGGCUGGCAUUGCUCCCUCAGCCGAACCCCAUCUCCACGCAGCACUUUUCAUCCGGUACGCUGGCCCCUCCUUGAACUCAGAAGUUGGAAGAUCCUAGGCCUGGACUGUGAUUUAGUGCCCAUCAGCCGUGGGCCGGAGGAAAUCUAUUAAACUCUCUACAAACCUAUUUCCAGAUUAGCCACACGCCGAGGUCUUGGCUCAGGUAUCUUACAUUUGAGCAACGAUUCCAAGCUGCUAGGGGAAAAAAGAAGCGCACCUUCUCCCGUCUUGCUAGCUCAGUUCGUAGCGCUCACGACUUCUAAUUUUAGGGUCCUGAGCAUCGCCCAGCGUCCAGUGAAUUUUAUUUGUUUGUCUCCCGAUUGGGUACCCUCCGUGGCCAGGGCCGUGCGGAUCCCCGAGGUAGCCACGAGGGGGCGCGCCGUCCCUUCCCCUUGGAUCUCGGCUCCCAGAACCACUUCAUUCCCUCAUCCAACUCCCCCCCCCCGCCAGUUUGGAUGGUAAAUAAUAAAGAUGUCCAGUUUCACUUUCUCUGAGACUGGCACAAACCAAGAUUCUUAUUCUUUACCACCCCAACUGUAGGAUGGUCUUGAGUUGCGGCAUGGGAGGUUUGGUUGCAUAAGCUCAGCGGCCCCAGCUUGGAAGCUACCUCAUUCCCUCUGCGGCUACCAAACUAUAGGAAAAGGCUCAAAGACAACUGGUUUUGAAAGUAACUGAUAUCCUCUGUAAUUUUAAAUGUUCUGUUCUAUGCAUUAAGAAGUCUUAUUCCUGGGAUGCUUGGGUGGCUCAGUUAGUUAAGCCUGGGAGGGUGGUUGAGACUGAGCCCUGUAUGGGGCUCUGGGCUCGAGGGGAGUCUGCUUAACAUUUUCUCCCUCUACCCCACCCCCCAUAAAUAAAUCUUUAAAAGCUUUAUUCUAAGAAGCAUGUGCACCCUCUACGCCCCCCCGACCCAAAUAAGUAAAUCUUUAAAAGCCUUA
Lutra lutra (Eurasian river otter) is the source of this 2540-nucleotide long non-coding RNA. RefSeq lists it as uncharacterized. The transcript has 2 exons. Lineage: Eukaryota; Metazoa; Chordata; Mammalia; Carnivora; Mustelidae. The record is from RefSeq and is a predicted model, not a curated record.